Molecule: non-coding RNA, 148 nt
Filed under: Chlorocebus sabaeus (green monkey)
Lineage: Eukaryota; Metazoa; Chordata; Mammalia; Primates; Cercopithecidae
Source: Rfam by way of RNAcentral
GCUGGGCGUGGUGGUCGACACCUGUAAUCCCAGCUACUCGGGAGGCUGAGGCAGGAGAAUUGCUUGAACCCAGGAGGCUGAGGCUGCAGUGAACCGAGAUUGCACCACUGCACUCCAGCCUGGGUGACAGAGCGAUACUCCGUCUCAA